Molecule: ribosomal RNA, 253 nt
Filed under: uncultured bacterium
Lineage: Bacteria
Description: partial 16S ribosomal RNA
Rfam family: Bacterial small subunit ribosomal RNA
Source: RNAcentral
CACGUAGGGCGCAAGCGUUGUCCGGAAUUAUUGGGCGUAAAGAGCUCGUAGGCGGUCUGUUGCGUCCGCUGUGAAAACUCGGGGCUUAACCCCGAGCCUGCAGUGGAUACGGGCAGACUAGAGGUAGGUAGGGGAGAAUGGAAUUCUCGGUGUAGAGGUGAAAUUCGUAGAUAUCGAGAGGAACACCGGUGGCGAAGGCGGCCUUCUGGACAGUGACUGACGCUGAGACGCGAAAGCGUGGGGAGCAAACAGG